RNAcentral lists this ribosomal RNA (497 nucleotides) under uncultured bacterium. RNAcentral's name for it is "partial 16S ribosomal RNA". It matches the Rfam family "Bacterial small subunit ribosomal RNA", at positions 28 to 507 of the family's 1533-position model. The record is from RNAcentral.
GAUGAACGCUGGCGGCGUGCCUAAUACAUGCAAGUCGAGCGAACAGACGAGGAGCUUGCUCCUCUGACGUUAGCGGCGGACGGGUGAGUAACACGUGGAUAACCUACCUAUAAGACUGGGAUAACUUCGGGAAACCGGAGCUAAUACCGGAUAACAUGUUGAACCGCAUGGUUCAACAGUGAAAGACGGUCUUGCUGUCACUUAUAGAUGGAUCCGCGCCGCAUUAGCUAGUUGGUAAGGUAACGGCUUACCAAGGCAACGAUGCGUAGCCGACCUGAGGGGGUGAUCGGCCACACUGGAACUGAGACACGGUCCAGACUCCUACGGGAGGCAGCAGUAGGGAAUCUUCCGCAAUGGGCGAAAGCCUGACGGAGCAACGCCGCGUGAGUGAAGAAGGUCUUCGGAUCGUAAAACUCUGUUAUUAGGGAAGAACAAAUGUGUAAGUAACUAUGCACGUCUUGACGGUACCUAAUCAGAAAGCCACGGCUAACUACGUG